AUUGAACGCUGGCGGCAUGCUUUACACAUGCAAGUCGGACGGCAGCACAGAGAAGCUUGCUUCUUGGGUGGCGAGUAGCGCACGGGUGAGUAAUAUAUCGGAACGUACCGAGUAAUGGGGGAUAACUAAUCGAAAGAUUAGCUAAUACCGCAUAUUCUCUGAGGAGGAAAGCAGGGGACCUUCGGGCCUUGCGUUAUUCGAGCGGCCGAUAUCUGAUUAGCUAGUUGGUGGGGUAAAGGCCUACCAAGGCGACGAUCAGUAGCGGGUCUGAGAGGAUGAUCCGCCACACUGGGACUGAGACACGGCCCAGACUCCUACGGGAGGCAGCAGUGGGGAAUUUUGGACAAUGGGCGCAAGCCUGAUCCAGCCAUGCCGCGUGUCUGAAGAAGGCCUUCGGGUUGUAAAGGACUUUUGUCAGGGAAGAAAAGGCUGUUGCUAAUAUCGACAGCUGAUGACGGUACCUGAAGAAUAAGCACCGGCUAACUACGUG
This 490-nucleotide ribosomal RNA is filed under the name uncultured bacterium. RNAcentral's name for it is "partial 16S ribosomal RNA". It matches the Rfam family "Bacterial small subunit ribosomal RNA", at positions 30 to 507 of the family's 1533-position model. The record is from RNAcentral.